AAAAGUGAAAGACGGUCUUGCUGUCACUUAUAGAUGGAUCCGCGCUGCAUUAGCUAGUUGGUAAGGUAACGGCUUACCAAGGCAACGAUGCAUAGCCGACCUGAGAGGGUGAUCGGCCACACUGGAACUGAGACACGGUCCAGACUCCUACGGGAGGCAGCAGUAGGGAAUCUUCCGCAAUGGGCGAAAGCCUGACGGAGCAACGCCGCGUGAGUGAUGAAGGUCUUCGGAUCGUAAAACUCUGUUAUUAGGGA
RNAcentral lists this ribosomal RNA (254 nucleotides) under Staphylococcus aureus. RNAcentral describes it as "partial 16S ribosomal RNA". It matches the Rfam family "Bacterial small subunit ribosomal RNA", at positions 196 to 445 of the family's 1533-position model. Lineage: Bacteria; Bacillati; Bacillota; Bacilli; Caryophanales; Staphylococcaceae. The record is from RNAcentral.